Molecule: transfer RNA, 173 nt
Filed under: Marmota monax (woodchuck)
Lineage: Eukaryota; Metazoa; Chordata; Mammalia; Rodentia; Sciuridae
Description: tRNA.Ala
Source: RNAcentral
GGUUGUGGCUUAAUGGUAGAGUGCUUGCCUAGCAUGUGUGAGGCACUGGGUUUGAUUUUCAGCACGGCCGAUAAAUAAAUAAAAAAUAAACCAUAUAUAUAUAUAUAUAUAUGGAUAUAUGGCUGGGACAUAGCACAGCAGUAGGGCACUCCUGGGUUCAAUCCUCAGUACCA